This 73-nucleotide transfer RNA is filed under the name Cryptomonas curvata. Its description in RNAcentral is "tRNA-Lys". It matches the Rfam family "tRNA". From Rfam's summary of the family: Transfer RNA (tRNA) molecules are approximately 80 nucleotides in length. The record is from RNAcentral. Lineage: Eukaryota; Cryptophyceae; Cryptomonadales; Cryptomonadaceae.
GCUGAGAUAGCUCAGUUGGUAGAGCGACAGGCUUUUAACCUGUUGGUCGUGGGUUCGAGCCCCAUUCUCAGCG